This 1137-nucleotide long non-coding RNA is filed under the name Homo sapiens (human). RNAcentral describes it as "HSALNT0258349". The record is from RNAcentral. Lineage: Eukaryota; Metazoa; Chordata; Mammalia; Primates; Hominidae.
UUCCCUGGACAUCUUUCUUUUCCCAUACAACCCCUGAUUGGAUGAGCCAAGGGAAGUCCUACUGUCUCUUCGGUGCAUUGCAAAACAAACAAGCAAGGAAACAAACAAGCAAACAAAACAAACUACUUCCAAAGGACAGAGAAAGGGAACACUGGGUUUUCAGGCGUGUAAGUCCUGUAACCAUCACAUAGUUCUCUGUGUUUUUCAUUUUGGUUUGAAGAAUGCUACAAGGCCCACUGUCAAGUAAGAAUUAACAUCUUUUCUCUCUCCUUCUCUUUGGCAGCUUUGGGCAGGAAAAUAACAACCACUAUAUACAGACAGGAUACAUUUAAGGGUUAUUACCUGUAGACUCUUUAUAUAUUCAGGUGUAAAUUAUCUUCCCCUUUCCAUUUAUUACAUCCUUAACCCAGAGAAGGAAUUAUCUGCAUGGAGAUUGCAACAGCAUCUGCUUCCAUUCGUGCAAAUGCCACAGUUACAAGCAGGAGCAACUGAAACAAGGAUUUGAAAUUAAAUAAAAUAAGCUAAUCUGUAUUUUUAGCUCCCUUUAGAAGGCUGAGACCAGAGGAAAGGAUUGGAAAUAUAUCUACCAAUAUGCCUUCAAGGAAAAAUAACAGAAAACCCAACUCAAAUUGGCUUAAACAAGAAAGAAACUUUUUUUGACCUGCUUAACUGAAAAGUCUAAAGGAUCAAGCGAACUUCAGGAAAUGGCAGGUGGAGGAGCUGCUUCUGCCAGCUGGAUCUGCAAUUCGGACAGCACGAAGAGCAUGGAAACGGGGCCAUUACCCAGUUUGCUAAAUUAAAGAAGGCAACCAGUCUCGGCAGGCCAUCAGCUCCACACAGUCACUGCCCUACUGUACAUGCCAACGACCCAUCUGAGGGAUCAGCUUCCCUUUGCUCCCCAAACGAGAGCCUCUGCUCUUGGGCACCUCAGAGAUGCGUGUGUGUGUGUGUGUGUGUGUGUGUGUGUGUGUGUGUGCGCGUGUGUGUGCAUGCAGACUAUUUGGAAAUUCGCUUUUAGAUGGAUUAAUGCUCGGUAAAGCUCUCAUGUUUCUCCAAAGUAUAUCCAGUGAGUAACAGUAGUAUUUUCAAUCAAUAGUAUUGCUUGCUAAAAUAACAGAUCUACAAUAAAGCCUUCUA